UACGUAGGGCGCAAGCGUUAUCCGGAAUGAUUGGGCGUAAAGCGUCCGCAGGUGGCAGUUCAAGUCUGCUGUCAAAGACCGGGGCUUAACUUCGGAAAGGCAGUGGAAACUGAACAGCUAGAGUAUGGUAGGGGCAGAGGGAAUUCCUGGUGUAGCGGUGAAAUGCGUAGAGAUCAGGAAGAACAUCGGUGGCGAAGGCGCUCUGCUGGACCAUAACUGACACUCAGGGACGAAAGCUAGGGGAGCGAAUGGG
This 253-nucleotide ribosomal RNA is filed under the name uncultured bacterium. RNAcentral's name for it is "partial 16S ribosomal RNA". It matches the Rfam family "Bacterial small subunit ribosomal RNA", at positions 524 to 776 of the family's 1533-position model. The record is from RNAcentral.